This 214-nucleotide long non-coding RNA is filed under the name Nicotiana benthamiana. Its description in RNAcentral is "long non-coding RNA (NBEN_LNC032995)". The record is from RNAcentral. Lineage: Eukaryota; Viridiplantae; Streptophyta; Magnoliopsida; Solanales; Solanaceae.
ACAACACACAACAACAAGCAACUCAAGCCUUGUAAAUCUCUCUUUAGUGCAAUACAAGUUCUCAUUUGGCUUCAUUGCUUUCUUCUCUAGUUCGAGAAGCUCUAGGCUUACUUAGCAACCUUCGGCAAAGUUGUCUAAGUGCCGCACGGGUUAGCUGCGCAAUAUACUCAUCCCGUGACAUUAGGGAGAGUAACUCUUUCACCACAAAAAGGAG